Molecule: ribosomal RNA, 215 nt
Filed under: uncultured bacterium
Lineage: Bacteria
Description: partial 16S ribosomal RNA
Rfam family: Bacterial small subunit ribosomal RNA
Source: RNAcentral
UCUCAGUUCGGACUGCAGGCUGCAACCCGCCUGCACGAAGCUGGAAUCGCUAGUAAUCGCGAAUCAGAAUGUCGCGGUGAAUACGUUCCCGGGUCUUGUACACACCGCCCGUCACACCAUGGGAGUCAGUAACGCCCGAAGUCAGUGACCUAACCGAGAGGGAGGAGCUGCCGAAGGCGGGACGGAUAACUGGGGUGAAGUCGUAACAAGGUAAC